AGAUAAUUAUUACUUCCAUAUGGGGCUACAACCAAGGCCUUAAUGCUGCUACCUUCCUUUAACUGAUUGAUAAAUCUGGGAUGUGUAGAUCAUGCUAAGGCAGCUGGGGCGAACUCGCCCCUUAUCACCUACAUUCGUCGGAGAAGAAGGGUGGAUCGAUCAAGGACAAGGACGCAGUCUCCCAGUGGGAGGACUUCUCCCUACCGCUACUCCCCUACUCCCUCCGAUGCGGUUAAGUUCAUCGAUAGAAUGGCCAAAGAGGCAGGUGGUGUUCUGCGGGUUCCUUGCGGGAGUCGCCGUCGGG
Molecule: long non-coding RNA, 304 nt
Filed under: Zea mays
Lineage: Eukaryota; Viridiplantae; Streptophyta; Magnoliopsida; Poales; Poaceae
Description: long non-coding RNA (ZMAY_LNC005490)
Source: RNAcentral